Pelobates cultripes (western spadefoot toad) is the source of this 481-nucleotide non-coding RNA. The record is from the annotation of a GenBank genome assembly. NCBI's taxonomy places the organism in Eukaryota, Metazoa, Chordata, Amphibia, Anura, Pelobatidae.
UCUAAGUGAAUGUGAAUGUGUGUGUGUGUCUGUAUGUGUCUGUAAGUAAAUGUGUGUGUCUGUAAGUGUUUAUGUGUGUGUGUGUCUGUGAGUGAAUGUGUGUGUCGGUCAGUGAGUGUGUAUGUGUUGGUCAGUGAGUGUGUAUGUGUCGGUUAGUGGGGGCGUGCAUCUUUCAGUGAGUGUGUCAGUUUGUCAGUGAGAGUGUGCAUCUGUCAGUGUGUGCCCAAGUAAUGGUGUGUGUGUAUGUCAUUGUUUGUCAAUGUGUAUGAGAGUGUGUGUCUGUCAGUGAGUGUGCGUCUGUCAGUCAAAGUGCGGUCUUGACAGGAAUGGGUGGGGGAAAUAUUAACUCUGUUACAGGCAUGUACACACACACACUCAGUUAAAGGCAGUCACACAUACAGGCACAGGCACACACAAUGGCACAGCUACAGUGACACACAAUUAGAGUCACACACAGAGUCACAUACACAGACAGUCACAC